Molecule: ribosomal RNA, 497 nt
Filed under: uncultured bacterium
Lineage: Bacteria
Description: partial 16S ribosomal RNA
Rfam family: Bacterial small subunit ribosomal RNA
Source: RNAcentral
GAUGAACGCUGGCGGCGUGCCUAAUACAUGCAAGUCGAGCGAACGGACGAGAAGCUUGCUUCUCUGAUGUUAGCGGCGGACGGGUGAGUAACACGUGGAUAACCUACCUAUAAGACUGGGAUAACUUCGGGAAACCGUAGCUAAUACCGGAUAAUAUUUUGAACCGCAUGGUUCAAAAGUGAAAGACGGUCUUGCUGUCACUUAUAGAUGGAUCCGCGCUGCAUUAGCUAGUUGGUAAGGUAACGGCUUACCAAGGCAACGAUGCAUAGCCGACCUGAGAGGGUGAUCGGCCACACUGGAACUGAGACACGGUCCAGACUCCUACGGGAGGCAGCAGUAGGGAAUCUUCCGCAAUGGGCGAAAGCCUGACGGAGCAACGCCGCGUGAGUGAUGAAGGUCUUCGGAUCGUAAAACUCUGUUAUUAGGCAAGAACAUAUGUGUAAGUAACUGUGCACAUCUUGACGGUACCUAAUCAGAAAGCCACGGCUAACUACGUG